Molecule: ribosomal RNA, 398 nt
Filed under: grassland soil clone sl2_711
Lineage: Bacteria
Description: bacterial SSU rRNA
Rfam family: Bacterial small subunit ribosomal RNA
Source: RNAcentral
AACACAUGCAAGUCGAACGAUGUCCCCAGCUUGCUGGGGAUUAGUGGCGAACGGGUGAGUAACACGUGAGUAACCUGCCCAAGACUCUGGGAUAAGCCUGGGAAACUGGGUCUAAUACUGGAUGCCGACUUUCUGCCGCAUGGUGGGGGGUUGAAAGAUUUAUUGGUUUUGGAUGGACUCGCGGCCUAUCAGCUUGUUGGUGGGGUAAUGGCCUACCAAGGCGACGACGGGUAGCCGGCCUGAGAGGGUGACCGGCCACACUGGGACUGAGACACGGCCCAGACUCCUACGGGAGGCAGCAGUGGGGAAUAUUGCACAAUGGGCGAAAGCCUGAUGCAGCGACGCCGCGUGAGGGAUGACGGCCUUCGGGUUGUAAACCUCUUUCAGUACGGAACAAG